This is a long non-coding RNA of Dendrobium catenatum, 1161 nucleotides long. RefSeq lists it as uncharacterized. NCBI's taxonomy places the organism in Eukaryota, Viridiplantae, Streptophyta, Magnoliopsida, Asparagales, Orchidaceae. The transcript has 2 exons. The record is from RefSeq and is a predicted model, not a curated record.
AUUCAAAGCUUGUUUUCAGUAAUUAUGGUCACAUUCUAGCAAAAUUUAGCAAAGCAUUGUGGUCGCAUUCUAGCAAAAUUUAACAAACUUUGCAACAACUUAUCAAUUUCAGCAACAUUAUAUCAGCUCUUACUCUUUGUUUUUCCAUUGGGUCAGCACAAAACCAUAAAUAACAACCCUUAUCUUGAUUGUUUAAGCAAACAACUGCAGUUUAAACAGCAAAAAACACUGAUUUUAGUACUUAAAUUCAACAACUAACUUGAAUUUUCAAAAUUUAAGCUAGUAAAAUCAAUAACCACUGAUUUCCUCACGUUUAUGUUCUAACUACAACACUUUAUAACAGCAGGAAAGCAGCAAUUUCUUAAUUUCAGAAGUCAGCCGCAACAGCUAGCAACCCAGCAAUCCUCCCAGAUUUUCCCUCAGCUUGAACUCGAAGAGAACCAGUGACGGGUAGCUACGGAUGUUGACAUUGAUGAAGUAGCUCGCAGAACAGAAGGUUACAGUGGUGAUGAUCUGACUAAUGUAUGCCGGGAUGCUUCUCUAAAUGGUAUGAGGAGGAAAAUUGCAGGAAAGACGAGGGAUGAGAUUAAGAACAUGUCAAAGGAUGAAAUCUCUAAGGAUCCUGUGGCCAUGUGUGAUUUUGACGAAGCUCUUACCAAGGUUCAGAGAAGUGUAUCUGCUGUUGAUAUUGAGCGACAUGAGAAAUGGUUUUCUGAGUUUGGCUCGGCAUGAUAAUCAGAUUAAAAUGACUAACUUUGUUCAUAUAGUCACGAUCUUGUCAAAGAUCUGCAUUGCAACUUUUAGUUAAACCAUGUUUCUUUUUUUCCUUACUGGAAUGCUUGUGAAGCAGCCCUGUGGCAGUACAUCCUUGCAUCAGUUGUGAGCAUGAUUCUGUACAUGGAUCAACAUGUAAGGGCUUCUUAAAGAGCAAAGAACAUAAACUGUUUGAUCGGCAUAUAGGUUUGGCAGAAUUUGUAAAGACCAACAAGUGUUCAUUUUGUUUUUAAUUACGUUAGAUGAUGAAAGAAAAGCUGGUUUUAGUUAUGAUUUAAUGUGAUUUUUUAGCUACUCAACGAUUUUGGAUGUAAUUCUAAUAGAGCAAACGGUAUUGGGUUGGAAUUCAUUUUCUUCUCUUGUGAAACUAUUCGGAAUUUCUGCAUU